RNAcentral lists this unclassified non-coding RNA (209 nucleotides) under Hevea brasiliensis (rubber tree). Lineage: Eukaryota; Viridiplantae; Streptophyta; Magnoliopsida; Malpighiales; Euphorbiaceae. The record is from RNAcentral.
CCCGGGUGGUGCGCUGGCCGCAGACGUUGCAGGUGAAGGCGACGCGCAUGCGACGGCGGGGGGACUUGGUGAAGAGCGACCAGGGGAACGUCGAGAAAGCCGAUCCAGCGGCGGGGACGGAGGGGCCCUCCAUCCCCGACGGCGUGGUCCAGCCGGUCCCCGCCGCCGCGCUCAGCACCAGCCCCAUCGCGGCAUCCUUGGAGAAGGGG